AGCGAACGCUGGCGGCAGGCCUAACACAUGCAAGUCGAACGAACUCUUCGGAGUUAGUGGCGGACGGGUGAGUAACACGUGGGAACGUGCCUUUUGGUUCGGAAUAACUCAGGGAAACUUGUGCUAAUACCGAAUGUGCCCUUCGGGAGAAAGAUUUAUCGCCAUUAGAGCGGCCCGCGUCUGAUUAGCUAGUUGGUGAGGUAACGGCUCACCAAGGCGACGAUCAGUAGCUGGUCUGAGAGGAUGACCAGCCACACUGGGACUGAGACACGGCCCAGACUCCUACGGGAGGCAGCAGUGGGGAAUCUUGCGCAAUGGGCGAAAGCCUGACGCAGCCAUGCCGCGUGAAUGAUGAAGGUCUUAGGAUUGUAAAAUUCUUUCACCGGGGACGAUAAUGACGGUACCCGGAGAAGAAGCCCCGGCUAACUUCGUG
Molecule: ribosomal RNA, 433 nt
Filed under: uncultured bacterium
Lineage: Bacteria
Description: partial 16S ribosomal RNA
Rfam family: Bacterial small subunit ribosomal RNA
Source: RNAcentral